Molecule: non-coding RNA, 572 nt
Organism: Sphaeramia orbicularis (orbiculate cardinalfish)
Lineage: Eukaryota; Metazoa; Chordata; Actinopteri; Kurtiformes; Apogonidae
Source: the annotation of a RefSeq genome assembly
UUUGUUGUGAGCAGAAAGUAUUAACCUGCACUUUCUGCCAUAAUGGAAGCUACAGUUAUCUGGGGUUUAAUGAUUAUAAUCAGCAUUAAUGGAGUUCAGAGUGAGAUCAGAAUGGAUCAGUCGUCCCCUCAAGUGAAAAGACCUGGAGACACAGUCAGAAUGUCCUGUACCAUGUCUGGAUUUAACAUGGCAAGCUACUACAUUCACUGGAUACGCCAGAGGCCAGGACAAGCUCUGGAGUGGAUCGGGAGGAUGAAUGCAGGGUCUACUACCUACGCCAGCUCCUUUCAGAGUCGUUUCACUAUGACUGAAAAUGUUCCAAGCAGCACACAGUACCUGGAAAUCACAAGUCUCACAACUGGAGAUUCUGCUGUUUACUUCUGUGCUCGUGACCACAGUGUCUCAGAACAGUGGAGGAGCUGCAUAAAAACCCUGACAGACCACAGUAGUGAUGUGAUGAUCAGUUUACCAAUGUACCAUAACUCACAGUGUUCUGAAUAUUUAUUUAGCACUACUAAAUAGUUUAGUCUUGUGGCUCUGAAAUGUGAUAUGAAAAUGUGAAAAUAAAUAAA